Ciona savignyi (Pacific transparent sea squirt) is the source of this 196-nucleotide non-coding RNA. NCBI's taxonomy places the organism in Eukaryota, Metazoa, Chordata, Ascidiacea, Phlebobranchia, Cionidae. The record is from Rfam.
AUCGCUUCUCGGCUCUUUUGAGCUAAGAUCAAGUGUAGUAUCUGUUCUUCUCCAGUUUAAUACCUGGGACGGAAACGAUUCGUUUCCUCUAUGUAUUAAUCGGAUUUUUGAACUUGGAGUAUGGUGCUGGAGCUUGCUCCACCCUGCUCACGGGUUGUCCUGGUAUUGCAGUACCUCCAGGUUCGGCUCACGUUUC